RNAcentral lists this ribosomal RNA (247 nucleotides) under uncultured bacterium. RNAcentral's name for it is "partial 16S ribosomal RNA". It matches the Rfam family "Bacterial small subunit ribosomal RNA", at positions 62 to 334 of the family's 1533-position model. The record is from RNAcentral.
CCAAGGGCUCGCUUGAUGGAGGGGAGCGGCAGACGGGUGAGUAACACGUGGGAACGUACCUUUCGGUUCGGGACAACCCAGGGAAACUUGGGCUAAUACCGGAUACGCCCUUCGGGGGAAAGAUUUAUCGCCGAAAGAUCGGCCCGCGUCCGAUUAGCUAGUUGGUGAGGUAACGGCUCACCAAGGCGACGAUCGGUAGCUGGUCUGAGAGGAUGAUCAGCCACAUUGGGACUGAGACACGGCCCAA